CCUACGGGAGGCUGCAGUGAGGAAUAUUGGUCAAUGGCCGGAAGGCUGAACCAGCCAAGCCGCGUGAAGGACGAAGGUGCCAAGCAUUGUAAACUUCUUUUGUCAAGGGACAAAAUCAGGCUCGAGAGCCUGACCGAGGGUACUUGAAGAAAAAGAAUCGGCUAACUCAGUGCCAGCAGCCGCGGUAAUACGGAGGAUGCGAGCGUUAUCCGGCUUUAUGGGGUUAAAAGGGUGGUUAGGCGGGCUGUUAAGUCAGCGGUAAAAGCCCGGGGCCCAACCCCGGCGAGCCGUUGAAACUGGCUGUCUUGAGAUGUCGAGAGGUAUGCGGAAUGCGCAGUGUAGCGGUGAAAUGCUUAGAUAUUGCGCAGAACUCCGAUUGCGAAGGCAGCAUACCGGCGGCGAUCUGACGCUGAGGCACGAAAGCGUGGGUAUCGAACAGGAUUAGAUACCCCGGUAGUC
Molecule: ribosomal RNA, 459 nt
Filed under: uncultured bacterium
Lineage: Bacteria
Description: partial 16S ribosomal RNA
Rfam family: Bacterial small subunit ribosomal RNA
Source: RNAcentral